This 424-nucleotide ribosomal RNA is filed under the name Fusobacteriota bacterium. RNAcentral's name for it is "Fusobacteria bacterium partial 16S ribosomal RNA". It matches the Rfam family "Bacterial small subunit ribosomal RNA", at positions 355 to 776 of the family's 1533-position model. Lineage: Bacteria; Fusobacteriati; Fusobacteriota. The record is from RNAcentral.
UGAGGAAUAUUGGUCAAUGGGCGAGAGCCUGAACCAGCCAAGUAGCGUGCAGGAUGACGGCCCUAUGGGUUGUAAACUGCUUUUAUGUGGGGAUAAAGUGCGUGACGUGUCAUGCAUUGCAGGUACCACAUGAAUAAGGACCAGCUAAUUCCGUGCCAGCAGCCGCGGUAAUACGGAAGGUCCGGGCGUUAUCCGGAUUUAUUGGGUUUAAAGGGAGCGUAGGCUGUCUAUUAAGCGUGUUGUGAAAUUUACCGGCUCAACCGGUGGCUUGCAGCGCGAACUGGUCGACUUGAGUAUGCAGGAAGUAGGCGGAAUUCAUGGUGUAGCGGUGAAAUGCUUAGAUAUCAUGACGAACUCCGAUUGCGCAGGCAGCUUACUGUAGCAUAACUGACGCUGAUGCUCGAAAGUGCGGGUAUCAAACAGG